This 245-nucleotide ribosomal RNA is filed under the name uncultured Chitinophagaceae bacterium. RNAcentral's name for it is "partial 16S ribosomal RNA". It matches the Rfam family "Bacterial small subunit ribosomal RNA", at positions 524 to 768 of the family's 1533-position model. Lineage: Bacteria; Pseudomonadati; Bacteroidota; Chitinophagia; Chitinophagales; Chitinophagaceae. The record is from RNAcentral.
UACGGAGGGUGCAAGCGUUAUCCGGAUUCACUGGGUUUAAAGGGUGCGUAGGCGGGUAGGUAAGUCAGUGGUGAAAUCUUCGGGCUCAACCCGGAAAUUGCCGUUGAUACUAUCUAUCUUGAAUAUCGUUGAGGUUUGCGGAAUAUGUCAUGUAGCGGUGAAAUGCUUAGAGAUGACAUAGAACACCUAUUGCGAAGGCAGCAGGCUAAACGAAGAUUGACGCUGAGGCACGAAAGCGUGGGGAU